AGCUCCCCGAGUGGUGGGGACUAUUAUUGGGCCUAAAGCGUUCGUAGCCUGCUUAGCAAGUCUUUCGUUAAAUCCACCGAUCCAAUCGUUGGUCUGCGGGAGAUACUACUAGGCUAGGGGGCGGGAGAGGCUGACGGUAUUCUUGGGGUAGGGGUGAAAUCCUGUAAUCCCAAGAGGACCACCAGUGGCGAAGGCGGUCAGCUAGAACGCGCUCGACGGUGAGGGACGAAAGCUGGGGGAGCGAUCCGGAUUAGAUACCCGAGUAGUCC
This 269-nucleotide ribosomal RNA is filed under the name uncultured archaeon. RNAcentral describes it as "partial 16S ribosomal RNA". It matches the Rfam family "Archaeal small subunit ribosomal RNA", at positions 478 to 747 of the family's 1478-position model. The record is from RNAcentral.